UCUGAAGGUAAGGCUCCCCAGGCACGAUCCCGUACCUGUUUCAAGAAUGAUCAGUCACACUGGACUGAGACCCGGUCCGCCCUACGAGAGCAGCAGUGAGAUAUUGACAAUGAGCGAAAGCCUGAUCAAGCAUGCGCAGAUGUGAGAAGUCUCGAUGUAAAGCACUUUAAGUGGAGGAAGGCAGUAAAUAUACUUGCUGUUUGACGUACCGACAGAAUAAGCACCGGCUAACUCUGUGCCAGCACCGCGGUAAUACAGAGGGUGCGAGCGUUAAUCGGAAUUACUGGGCGUAAAGCGUGCGUAGGCGGUUUGUUAAGUGGAAUGUGAAAGCCCCGGGCUCAACCUGGGAACUGCAUCCCAAACUGGCAAACUAGAGUGCGGAAGAGGAGUGUGGAAUUUCCUGUGUAGCGGUGAAAUGCGUAGAUAUAGGAAGGAACACCAGUGGCGAAGGCGACACUCUGGUCUGACACUGACGCUGAGGUGCGAAAGCGUGGGUAGCAAACAGGAUUAGAUACCCUGGUAGUCCACGCCGUAAACGAUGUCUACUAGCCGUUGGGUUCCUUGAGGACUUAGUGGCGCAGCUAACGCAUUAAGUAGACCGCCUGGGGAGUACGGCCGCAAGGUUAAAACUCAAAUGAAUUGACGGGGGCCCGCACAAGCGGUGGAGCAUGUGGUUUAAUUCGAUGCAACGCGAAGAACCUUACCAGGUCUUGACAUCCUACUAAGUUUCCAGAGAUGGAUUCGUGCCUUCGGGAAAGUAGUGACAGGUGCUGCAUGGCUGUCGUCAGCUCGUGUCGUGAGAUGUUGGGUUAAGUCCCGUAACGAGCGCAACCCUUGUCCUUAGUUGCUAGCAGGUAAUGCUGAGAACUCUAAGGAGACUGCCGGUGACAAACCGGAGGAAGGUGGGGACGACGUCAAGUCAUCAUGGCCCUUACGACCUGGGCUACACACGUGCUACAAUGGCCAGUACAAACGGUUGCCAACCAGCGAUGGGGAGCUAAUCCGAGAAAACUGGUCGUAGUCCGGAUUGGAGUCUGCAACUCGACUCCAUGAAGUCGGAAUCGCUAGUAAUCGUGAAUCAGAAUGUCACGGUGAAUACGUUCCCGGGCCUUGUACACACCGCCCGUCACACCAUGGGAGUGGGUUGCUCCAGAAGUAGAUAGACUAACCUUCGGGGGGACGGUACCACGGAGUAUUAAGAACUUU
RNAcentral lists this ribosomal RNA (1206 nucleotides) under uncultured prokaryote. Its description in RNAcentral is "partial 16S ribosomal RNA". It matches the Rfam family "Bacterial small subunit ribosomal RNA", at positions 249 to 1478 of the family's 1533-position model. The record is from RNAcentral.